GGAUGAACAAUAACAGCCAAAGCAAAGACUGCUGUAGCAGAUGUGAAGGGUACCAGACAUCCAAAGUCGGCCCCUGAAAGAGGAAGCCAAUGGCACAAUAAGGACACCUGAACUGAUUUCUAGUGCUCCAUGAUAGGACCCAGACUGUAGCUGCCAGAAAGAAGCUCACCCCUAGUACUUCCCAGCACCUCUAAGGCCGAUACAUUUCCUACAGUGAAGCUCUGUCCCAUGGAAGGCAAUGAAGAGAAACCACCAGGGCUGAGAACAGAAUGCAGGCUAAACAAAACUGAUUAAUAAUGGGAGGUAUCCGGCGCCCUAAAGGGCAGAAACAAUGUACAGUGACCCAAACAGCUGCCACCAGAAGCGAUAUUUUGU
Molecule: long non-coding RNA, 375 nt
Organism: Calidris pugnax (ruff)
Lineage: Eukaryota; Metazoa; Chordata; Aves; Charadriiformes; Scolopacidae
Exons: 5
Source: RefSeq, a predicted model, not a curated record